This 373-nucleotide unclassified non-coding RNA is filed under the name uncultured fungus. RNAcentral describes it as "sequence contains ITS1". Lineage: Eukaryota; Fungi. The record is from RNAcentral.
UUAACUAUUUUAUAGUACUCAGACGACAUAAUAAAAAGAAUGUUGGGGUCCUCUGGCAGGCACGGACCAGCUAAAGCCAGUAGUCGUAAGACAGGCCUGCCAAAGCAACAAAGGUAUUGUAUACAAAGGGUGGGAGAUAUACCCCGAAGGGCAUGUUCUCUGUAAUGAUCCUUCCGCAGCGUGGAAAUACCUGCUCUCUCAAGCAGGAACUCGAUCAUAUCUUAACCCCAGAGGGCCACCUCUAUUUGACCUGUGAGCCCAUUUCUAGGCUGCUGGUAUCACAAUAUUUGUGAAUCCUAGCACAGUAGAGAUGUUGCCUGCUAAGUGCAGACUUGUUUGGGCGAACCUGGAAAAGGGUGUUCACCUACGGAAA